AACACCGGUAAAGACUACAGUGCAAUUAAACAACUGUUAGUGGAUCUGUGAUCUACUAAUCAAAUUUUUAAGUUAUGAACAUGAUAAUUAGACAAAAUUAAUGUUAAGUACUUAAAGUUAGAGUCUUGAGAGUUUCCGGGUAAAAAUUUGACGACGGAUCAGUUAAAAAUUACACCGGGUCUCACUAAAGGACGAAUAUCACUUAAGUGACAUGGCACCCCUCAUUAGGGCACCCUCCUCUCCUUCCCUUCCAUUUCUGAUCAGCAGCCCCUUCACCUCCUUCUCUCUCUAAGUUUCAAAUUUUGAAAACUCUCUCACUUCUCUCUAAGAUUUCUUCACCUAAAUCUCUCUAAACCACCAAACUUCCUUCACAAAGAUUGUUCCCCUCACUCUCCUCUUCACAACCAUACCAUUUUCAUGGUGUGAAUCAAAAAUUUCGUGUCCCUUAUCAUCCCAAACAGCCAUGGUUUUGUGGAGAGCAAAGGCUAUGGAGUUGUGUUCUUGAGCUCUCUUGAAGAAUCACACUUGCUUGCUUGUUUCCUUUGAUUUUUGGGUGUGUGCUUGCCUAAAGGUGUGUUCUUGGUGGAAAAAGGUGGAGACUUGAGCUAAAGGAGAAACCUUGAAGAUGUGUGCCUAGAGAACCGUGCACUUGAGGAUUUUGUUGGAGC
Gastrolobium bilobum is the source of this 668-nucleotide long non-coding RNA. RefSeq lists it as uncharacterized. NCBI's taxonomy places the organism in Eukaryota, Viridiplantae, Streptophyta, Magnoliopsida, Fabales, Fabaceae. The transcript has 3 exons. The record is from RefSeq and is a predicted model, not a curated record.